UUCACAAGAAUUGCCUGUAAAGGAUACCUCAGCAUCAUUGGGAGAAAAAACAACGGAGACAAAAGAUAAGGCCAAAUCAAUUGCUUAUAAGCUACUUUCUGACAUUGAAGUGGCAACAAAUUUGAAAGGGGUGUUGGAAGAACGUAUAUUAAACGCUAAAGUAGAAUUCACAUUGAAAGAAGUCUUGGAAAUUGCAAAGAAGGAGUUUCAUGAUGUUAUCAUUGACAGCAUUAAGCGAAAGAGGUAAUUAAUGAGCGAAACUGGAAUGAGUCAUGCUAUUGAUGCAAGAAUAUGUAGAGAUGAAGAAGAGGUUGAUAUUGGUUACAAGCAACCAACAAAUGAAAAGAAUGGGUAUAAUCAGCGAGUACGUUUCGAAGAUUCUAGUGACAAGGAAAUGGAAACUUUGAGCCAUUAUACUCGAAAGCAUUGAGCAAGGGCAACUACUGAGGUAUUGGUGAAGGUAGGAGAUAUAGAAGAACCAAUAGUUACUUUGGUGGACCAUGGUUCUGAAAUAAAUCUCAUGUCUAAAGAUCUUUAUAAGAAGCAAAAAUGGCCAAUUGAUAUGGAACAUGGAUGGGCAAUACGAGCAGCUAAUAACACACGAGGCGAAUUAUAUGGAGCUUGUCCAGAUGUCAAAAUUCGGAUUGGGGAUGUUGCGACGGAGCAACAUUUCUUCGUUCAAGAUACAACGUCUUAU
RNAcentral lists this long non-coding RNA (697 nucleotides) under Physcomitrium patens. RNAcentral describes it as "long non-coding RNA (PPAT_LNC009516)". The record is from RNAcentral. Lineage: Eukaryota; Viridiplantae; Streptophyta; Bryopsida; Funariales; Funariaceae.